Molecule: ribosomal RNA, 253 nt
Filed under: uncultured bacterium
Lineage: Bacteria
Description: partial 16S ribosomal RNA
Rfam family: Bacterial small subunit ribosomal RNA
Source: RNAcentral
UACGAAGGGGGCUAGCGUUGUUCGGAAUUACUGGGCGUAAAGCGUGCGCAGGCGGCUUCUCAAGUCAGGGGUGAAAGCCCAGAGCUCAACUCUGGAAUUGCCUUUGAGACUGAGUGGCUUGAGUACGAGAGAGGUGAGUGGAAUUCCCAGUGUAGAGGUGAAAUUCGUAGAUAUUGGGAAGAACACCGGUGGCGAAGGCGGCUCACUGGCUCAUUACUGACGCUCAGGCGCGAUAGCGUGGGGAUCAAACAGG